CCUUUGGACAACCUGUGUCCUCCAUCUUCUCCUCCUCAUCCUCUUCCUCCUCCUCUCUAUACUGGUAGAUAUAUCUCUUCUGGUCCUCCAUUUCCGGUAGCUUGACUGGUUCUGCUGCCGUUUCAUUGACCAGUGCUGUUGUCCUCCAGGGUUGGUCCUGACUAGGGAAAGCUGCCCAGGACCUCAUGUCUCUGUUAGCCAGCAUAGGGAGCUCUUCUCUGGAGUUAGGGUCUUGGCUAAAGCCCUGGUCUUGGUUCUGGUGCUGGUUGUACCCCAGUAGGGUUUGGAGGGAUGAGGGGAGUGUGAAUUCAGCCACCAGAAGGUUAGGGGCAGAAGUUGUUAUCAGCUUUCUGUAGGGGGUAGCCUGGGGCUGGGCCUGGGGGGGUGAGAGGGGGUCUGUGGUCAGUCCUGGGGUGUUGCUACUUCCCCCCUCCUCCUCCUCUUGGUGUGGCUGGUACAUGAUGUCAGAGGAGAUACUCUGUCUGUAGCCAUUGCUAUGGUUCCAGAUGUCCUCCAGCUCCUCCUCUACCUCCUCAAACUGCUGGUGGUCUGGAUGGAUGGUGAGGUCGGGGUCGACCGGAUCAGAGUCGAGUUCUGUCUCUGUCUGGUGGUGUCUGUUUCUGGGUGUUGUUUUUGUCUCUGGGUGGGCAGGAGCUGGGGUUGCUGUGGGAUUUCCCCUGGGUGUGGACACAUCCUCCAUACGCCCCUCCUCCAGAGACACUAGCCUCCCCACCACAGUCCUCAUGGGCUGGGGCUCUUGGAGAACAUCAGGUGCAUUGAGCUUCAAGCUCCCAGAGUUGGUGACACCAGAGAUGCCAGAGUCCAUUGAGUCUUGCAUCAUACUCCCUAACCCACUGACCUUCAGAUUCACAACCAUCUGAGAAGCCUGGCUGGUCUCCUGGAGGUCAACACUCUCUCUAUGGGUCUUCAACCUAUGAUGGUACUGGUGUCCAUUGAGGUCCUGAAUGAGGCACUCGUGGUUCUGAUAGGCUGAGGAGGGACAGUGGUCCUUGCUCUCAUGGUUCUGAUAGGCUGAGGAUGGACAGGGGUCCUUGCGCUCAUGGUUCUGAUAGGCUGAGGAGGGACAGGGGUCCUUGCUCUUUACAAUGGGACUUCUACUAACCAUGGUCAUUUCCAUGUAAUUGUAAUGGUCUCGGUUCAUUGGAGUGGGACUCUUUGGGCAAUAAGCUGUGAUUGGUGGUUGCUUGCUGAAGAUGAGCUCCGACCACUCCUGCUCAGGCUCCUGGAGUACGGUCUGGAUCUGUGUUAGGGAUAGGUCAUUGCUUGAUACGUUCUGAUCCCAGUCCUCAUCCAGGGCAGGAGGAGGAGGAGGAGGAAAAUCUGUAUCUAGAUUAGACAGAGGCUCCAGCUGAAUAGCCUGUGUCAGUGGCUUUGUCUGUUUUAGUAUUUGUGUCGGUGUCUGUCUCAGUAGUGGCUGUGUCUGUGUCAGUAAUGGUUGUGUCUGUGUCUGUAUCUUUGUCAGUAGUGGUUGUGUCUGUGUCGGUAGUGGUUGUGUCUGUGUCAGUAGUGGCUGUGUCAGUGUCAGUAGUGGCUGUGUCUGAAUCUGUGUCAUUGUUUCAUAUCUGUAAGUAGUGACGGCCUCAUUAUCUGGUGCUCUGUGCGUGUCUGAGGGAGGGGAGCGGGUAUGUUUGAAAGAGCUGAGGGCUGCAUGUGUCUCUGUGUGAGGGUUGGGAUUGAGGUUUGGGUUGGAGGUUCCCCUGUGUUCUGGGAGUCCUAUAGUGAUGACAUCCUGUAUACUGGGGAUCAACCUCAUGUCUUUGGAGAGGUCGAAGGUCAAAACAGACCCCAGAGACAGGAACCUGCAGUGGCUCCUCACCUGGCCCCUGGGUGGAGCUAUAGAGACUGCCUCUGUCACUGCAUAGGGGCUGACAGUGGACACCCCAGAACAUUCAUCUUCAAUAUCCCUGGCCAAUGGGUUAUCCAUGUAGUCCACGAGUUCCACCCCCUGCCCUGGGCCCACCCCGUCGGCCUUUAAUAGGCUCUUCUUCUUCCUCCGGCCCUCCUUCAUUGGCCAGGUCUGGGUGUCGUACAGCGUGAUUUGCUGGGGUGCAGCUUCAGCAGGACAUGCCACCUCUGUCUGCUCCUCCCCCUCUACAACCAUGAUUUUCUGAAUGGUGUGGCGGCCAGCGUCUCUCUUCCUUCUCCUCUUCUUGCUCCUUAUCUUUAGACUAGAAAAGAUGGAGGUGUUCUUGGGCAGGGAGGAGGGGAAAGAGACGCAAGAUUGAGGAGCCCUGGAGGAGGAGGGGGAUGAAGAGGAGGAGGUCUUGGUGUGGAGGCGGGGCAGUAACAUACUCUCGUAUGCAGGAGCUGAUGUCAUGUUGUUGUCCUUUAAAUAGAGGAGGACAGAACACAGGUUUAGACAGGAGAGGAGGAGAUAUGAGUAGAGACAGGGGUAGAGAGGGAAGGGAGAGGAGAGGAGUGGAGAGAGGAUAUUAGACAGGAAAAGAGAGAGGAGAGGAGACAGUGAUAGAGAGGAGAGGAGACAGGGAUAGAGAGGAGAGGAGACAGGGUUAGAGAGGGAGAGGAGAGGAGACAGGGUUAGAGAGGGAGAGGAGAAGAGACAGGGAUAGAGAGGGAGAGGAGAGGAGACAGGGAUAGAGAGGAAGAGGAGAAGAGACAGGGAUAGAGAGGGAGAGGAGAGGAGACAGGGAUAGAGAGGGAGAGGAGAGGAGACAGGGUUAGAGAGUGAGAGGAGAGGAGACAGGGUUAGAGAGG
Molecule: long non-coding RNA, 2736 nt
Organism: Oncorhynchus tshawytscha (Chinook salmon)
Lineage: Eukaryota; Metazoa; Chordata; Actinopteri; Salmoniformes; Salmonidae
Source: Ensembl